This 253-nucleotide ribosomal RNA is filed under the name uncultured bacterium. Its description in RNAcentral is "partial 16S ribosomal RNA". It matches the Rfam family "Bacterial small subunit ribosomal RNA", at positions 524 to 776 of the family's 1533-position model. The record is from RNAcentral.
UACGAAGGGUGCAAGCGUUACUCGGAAUUACUGGGCGUAAAGCGUGCGUAGGUGGUUUGUUAAGUCUGAUGUGAAAGCCCUGGGCUCAACCUGGGAAUGGCACUGGAUACUGGCAGGCUAGAGUGCGGUAGAGGGUAGUGGAAUUCCCGGUGUAGCAGUGAAAUGCGUAGAGAUCGGGAGGAACAUCUGUGGCGAAGGCGACUACCUGGACCAGCACUGACACUGAGGCACGAAAGCGUGGGGAGCAAACAGG